Molecule: long non-coding RNA, 4375 nt
Organism: Gorilla gorilla gorilla (western lowland gorilla)
Lineage: Eukaryota; Metazoa; Chordata; Mammalia; Primates; Hominidae
Exons: 3
Source: RefSeq, a predicted model, not a curated record
UUCCACAGGGAGCUUUGAAGCUGGAUGUCCCUUAAGAACGACUCUGUGUUGAGGCAAAGAAACCAGGCUUGGGUACCCCUGCAUGACCCAGUCAUUUAAGUUGGGUAGCAGCUUCGCCCCUAGAAGGGGCCAUGACUUGGGCAAGGCAACUCUCUUUGGCUCCAGGCAAUUUUUCAGGAGGGGUUUAGCUAAGAUUCAGUGUCUUUCAAUGCUCUGAGCAGGUGAGAUAAGGAGUAUUUCAAUUCUGAAUCAAGAGGACAAGUGUUAUAGUAACCACCUGUUGUCUUCAGUGUUUCUGAGUGCCUUGCACACAUAGGUACUUAAAUACUGGGUUAAGCAAUUGACUAUCAAUCAAUAAUCUUUUAUGAAAGAAGAGAUGGUGCAGCACACGCAUGCCCAAUAUUAAGAGAGAGAAGACAUUUAUUGAGGCAAGCAGCUGGAGUGGACCUGCCCCCAUCACCAGGCCAGCUUCCCACCUGCACGUGCAGCUCUUUCUUCUUUUGCAGGAGGCUUGCUCUGCUCAUUAGACAUGCAACAAAGAGCUGGCCUGUGGAGCACACAUCCAUAUUCAUAACUCAAGUCAGCUGGAAAGUUGUACAUUUUUCUUUCUGGGAAAUCAUGGCGACAAAGACUGAAGACCCAGGCAGCACAAACGUGAAUGAUGGAUCUCUCAGAAGAACAACAAAGACUGAAGUGAGUAUAUUUUAUGCUUGGAAAUGAGCAAAUCAUUCCUUUUGACAAGCCAUUAAUGUUGGGGGUGAGUAUCUGUCUAUCAGGAAUUGAGCUAGAUUUGAGAUUUUUUUCUUGUUAUUGUUACUCUUGGUACUCCAGAAGCUUUAAAUACUUUUAAUAUUCCCUGUUAUAACAGCUGCUCUGCCGAAGAGUUUUUGUCCACAUCUGCUCAACUCUUGCUUUAUGCUUUCCAUUUGCUCAAUGUCUCAGAGAUUAUCUUAACUCUGUUUCUUGUCUUUCAACAGCAAAAAGCUAUUACUGGCUACUUGAUAUUGGUUAGCCUGUUGUUGGAGGAUGAAGUCUGUUCUUGUAAUCUGAUUAAGCCUCAGUUUUAGGCAGACACUAAUCUCAAACUCCCUGGAGAAAAGCCUUCUAAGUAAUCCUGCCCCAUCUUCGCCUGGAGUGCUAAGCUAAGCAUGAAUUCCUAAUCAUCCUCUAAGAUUAGACAACUUUUUUUUUUUCUCCAAUUGAAGUGGGUUUUCACUCAGACCCACUCAGUGGGUGACAGUGUUUGCAGCAUUUUCCCCAGAUCUUUAAGGUUGUGUUUCAUAAGAGAAAGAGCCACUCUUGGAUUUGUGACUUUCCCACAGUGGCUGCGAUUUCCCCCCGCUGGACCUGAACUGCCAGGAAUGAUUGCUCAAGACUUUUGUCAGUCUUUAUUGUGAGGACAAUACCUGGUGAGGUCCGUGAAGAAGAGUCUGUUGAAGCAUUUAAAUUUCUCUUGUCUCAGCCCCUAGAGGUUUUAUAGUCUCUUUUUUGCUGACACUAUGCCAUUAUCACUUGUUAUACAUUUUAUCUGAAUUCUUCUUAUGGGUGUCUGGUGGUCCUUGCCCAGGUAAGCAGGUGCUUAUGCACCGUUUCUACUGGGUGGUGACUGACUUGUCUUAGAUUUUCUGUUCAAGAAAACGUAGAAAUUUUCAUAUGAUGCGGAAUAGGUUCUGGGAUCGAAGUGAUGAAAUUUUAAUUUUCUAUCUUCUAAAUAGAAGGUGGAAAUUACACUUUUACUUUUAGAAACAGGUAUGAUUUGUUUUUUUGAAUUGAUAUGUGUAGAGCACUAAUAUUUACUGUAUUAUAUGAUUUGGCUGAAAUCUACAGUCUUAUGAGUUGUUUUCUAUUUUACUCCUUUUUAAGAUUUUUUAAAUUUUCUCUUCUUGUUUUACUUCUCCUUUUUAUUGAGAUGACGUUCAUAUAAUAUAAAAUUAACCAUCGUUUGAAGUAGAUAACUCCGUGACAUUUAGUCCACUCACGAUACUAUGCAACCACUACUUUUAUCUGGCUCUAAAAGCAUUUUUGGGGUUUCAAAAGGAAACCCUAUACCCUUUAAGCCAUGGCCCUUCAUUCCUCAAACCUCCUACUUUGCCCAAAGUAACCACCAGUGUACGUUCUGGCUGUAUGUACUUUUGUAUUUUGAACAUCUCAUACAAACAGCAUCAUGCAAGGUGCAGCCUAUUGUGUCUGGCUUCUCUUGCUCAGAAUGUUCUGGAGGUUCAUCCAUGUCACAGUGUACAUCUAUACUUUAUUACUUUUUAUGACUGAGUAAUAUUCUAUUUUAUGUGUAUAUCAUGAUUUGUUUAUCUGUUCAUUCAUUAAUGAAAAUUUCAACUGUUUUCACCUUUGGGUUAUUAUAAAUUGUGCCGCUAUAAACAUUCAUAUACGUGUACUUGUUUGUUAGCAGUUUCCGGUGCUACUGAGCUUGUACCAAAGAUUUUCCUUGCAUGAUCAUACACCAAUUCUAUCUCACUUUUCGAGGAACCUGCAAACUGCUGUCCACAGUGCCUAAACCAUUUUACAUCUCUACCAGCAAUAUAUAAGUGUUCCAACUAAUCCACAUGCUUGCAAACUCUUGAAAUUCUUUCUCUCUCUCUUAGAGGUUGUAAGGUUCUAACUCAUUAUGGUUUUGAUUUGCAUUUCCCAAUGACUGAUUUUGAGUGUCUUUUCAUGCAUUCGUUAACCAUUUGUAUUCUUCUGUAGACAAAUGUGUAUUCAACUCUUUUACCUGCCCCCUGCCCCUUUUAAAAUGGGGUAGUUUGUUUUAUGUUGUUAGUUGUAAUAAUUCUUUAUAUAUUCUGACCACUAGACCCCUGUCAGAUAUAUAAUUUGGUAAUAUUAUUUCCCAUUGUGUAGGCUAUCUUUUUAUUUUCUUGAUAAUGUAUUUCUAUAUAUAUUUAUAUGUUUUCAUAUAUAUUUAUAUAUUUCAUCUGUAUUAUAUAUAAAUAAAUACAUGUAUUUAUUGAUUUGUAUUUAUUGAUUUCUUUUUAAUAAAGCCCCAUUUAUCCAUUUUUUGUUUUUUGUGCUCACAGUGUGAUAUCUAAGAAUCCACUGACAGAUCUGAAGUCAUAAAGACCUACCUCUAAGUUUUUUUCUCAAAGUUUGAUGGUUUCAGCUCUUAUAUUUAGAUUUUUGACACAUUUCAGUAUUUUCAAAAGCAGACAUUUAUAAAAAAACAUUAAUUGAAAGGCUAAAUUAUCCAUAUUACUAAGGCCAGAAAGAAUACCUAAGACAAAUAACAACUAUGAGAGACACCACCAUAAAAGACACAUAACAAAGAGGGCAUAACGCUCCUCUUUGUUCACUAUGGACUUGAAUAUUUCAUGAAAUGGAUUACAUUUUAAAAAGGAAAAGAAAAGCCCUAGGUUGUUCGGUCAUGCUAAGCUUUACUUCAUAGCACCCAUCCACAAACGGGGGGGGAAGUUACAAUGGAAAUUAUUUCGUUUCAAGCAUAAUGGUUGCUGGUAGAUAUUUCCCUGAGUUUUUCAUUUCUUCAUUCGCCACAUAUGUACAGAGCACCAACUCUACACCACGCCUGAGUUAAGACCUCAUGGAUGAGUGCCGCUGCUUGGCCUCUGCCACCUCAGGAUCCAAUUAUUCCUAUUGUAUUUAAAUAUUGUAGUUGAGUGGCUGCAGUUCCCACUGUUGGAUCUGACAUACAGAGAAGGACAAUUACAGAGCUCUUCAAAGAUACAGGUUCUGCCCUCACAAAUCUAUUUCACAAGGCAUUGGUCAAGGGUAUAGCUUCUGGACCCUCCCAGCUGGGAUGAGUAGGUUUAAAGUGACUAAAUGACUCCAUCAUCCCAAUCUAAGCCUUUGGAUCCCUUUCUCUACAUUACACCAAGAGAGAUUAGGCAUUUCCAGCUCACUCACAGUGGUCCAUCUUUUAAUCCAUGUUUCAGCUAACCAAGCAAAUAAAGUGUGAAAACUCUGGGCUGCAAUAUUAAAUCUGAGUCCCUACUUAGUGGGCCCAAAUCAAUAAAUUCAGCCUGAUCCAACUCUAUGUUCCUUCCACCAUUAUCCCAUACCCUACUAUCCAUUCCCAUCCCUGUUCUCCAGAUUUCUGUUUAUAUAAAUUAGAAAACUCAAGCAGUUCUUUUUAAGUGUAGUAUGCCUCCUCGUGGUCAUAUUCUCAACCUCACCUCUAGGGGCCUGCCAGGACUUUAGUCUAGUUAUAGAUCUAAAAGCAAACAGGGGUGUUGGGGGUGGCUCCUGGGGAGAAUCAACAUUAUCUCACCUGGUAACUGUCUCAGGGGAGGCCAUCACUGUUGCCUCAGGCAGUAUAGGGUUUGUCUCCUCAGACAAAGGUGGAAAGGCUAAUGGCAGCACGGGUUAGGGAGGAAAUGUUGCCACUACAGGAGAUGGGGAAGCUGUU